GACGAACCGUGCGAACGUUAUUCGGAAUCACUGGGCUUAAAGGGUGCGUAGGCGGGCUGUCAAGUCUGGGGUGAAAUCCCGCGGCUCAACCGUGGAACUGCCUCAGAUACUGAUGGCCUCGAGGAAGGUAGGGGCAUGCGGAACUGUAGGUGGAGCGGUGAAAUGCGUUGAUAUCUACAGGAACUCCGGUGGCGAAAGCGGCGUGCUGGACCUUUUCUGACGCUGAGGCACGAAAGCUAGGGGAGCAAACGGG
Molecule: ribosomal RNA, 253 nt
Filed under: uncultured bacterium
Lineage: Bacteria
Description: partial 16S ribosomal RNA
Rfam family: Bacterial small subunit ribosomal RNA
Source: RNAcentral